This 301-nucleotide ribosomal RNA is filed under the name uncultured bacterium. RNAcentral describes it as "partial 16S ribosomal RNA". It matches the Rfam family "Bacterial small subunit ribosomal RNA", at positions 509 to 807 of the family's 1533-position model. The record is from RNAcentral.
CAGCCGCCGCGGUAAUACGGAGGGUGCAAGCGUUAAUCGGAAUUACUGGGCGUAAAGCGCACGCAGGCGGUCUGACAAGUCAGAUGUGAAAUCCCCGGGCUUAACCUGGGAACUGCAUUUGAAACUGUCAGGCUGGAGUCUUGUAGAGGGGGGUGGAAUUCCAGGUGUAGCGGUGAAAUGCGUAGAGAUCUGGAGGAAUACCGGUGGCGAAGGCGGCCCCCUGGACAAAGACUGACGCUCAGGUGCGAAAGCGUGGGGAGCAAACAGGAUUAGAUACCCCAGUAGUUUCUGUCUCUUAUAC